CGCUCACCACUUUGUGGUUCAUGACUGGGGUGAAGUCGUAACAAGGUAGCCCUAGGGGAACCUGGGGCUGGAUCACCUCCUUA
This 83-nucleotide ribosomal RNA is filed under the name Vibrio sp. FNV 38. RNAcentral's name for it is "partial 16S ribosomal RNA". It matches the Rfam family "Bacterial small subunit ribosomal RNA", at positions 1451 to 1533 of the family's 1533-position model. The record is from RNAcentral. Lineage: Bacteria; Pseudomonadati; Pseudomonadota; Gammaproteobacteria; Vibrionales; Vibrionaceae.